GAGGGUAGAAAUUUAGCAACACUUUUCCAGCAGGAUCUCUUGCAAGAAGAAAAUAAUCUCCAAAUUCGACUUGUCAAUUUUAUUUCUCAUGAAAAUAGCAAGUUAACUCAAAGAAUUUAUCACACAAAUAGUUAUGUAAUUUCUUAUUUUGCUCUUUUAGUUUCAAUCAACACAUCUUCCCAUUAG
RNAcentral lists this ribosomal RNA (186 nucleotides) under Triticum aestivum (bread wheat). RNAcentral describes it as "partial small subunit ribosomal RNA". The record is from RNAcentral. Lineage: Eukaryota; Viridiplantae; Streptophyta; Magnoliopsida; Poales; Poaceae.